GUAAGGAAUAUUGGUCAAUGGAGGAAACUCUGAACCAGCUAUCCCGCGUGAAGGAUGAAGGGGCUCUGCCUUGUAAACUUCUUUUGUCUGGGGCGAAAAAGCUCGAUUUAUCGAGAACUGACGGUACCAGAAGAAUAAGCACCGGCUAACUCCGUGCCAGCAGCCGCGGUAAUACGGAGGGUGCAAGCGUUAUCCGGAAUCACUGGGUUUAAAGGGUGCGUAGGCGGCUUAGUAAGUCAGUGGUGAAAGGCUGUGGCUUAACCAUGGAAUUGCCAUUGAUACUGCUGAGCUUGAAUAAGGUUGAGGUUGGCGGAAUGUGACAUGUAGCGGUGAAAUGCUUAGAUAUGUCAUGGAACACCGAUUGCGAAGGCAGCUGACUGGACCUGCAUUGACGCUGAGGCACGAAAGCGUGGGGAGCGAACAGGAUUAGAAACCCCUGUAGUCC
RNAcentral lists this ribosomal RNA (445 nucleotides) under uncultured bacterium. Its description in RNAcentral is "bacterial SSU rRNA". It matches the Rfam family "Bacterial small subunit ribosomal RNA", at positions 354 to 796 of the family's 1533-position model. The record is from RNAcentral.